AGUGGGGAAUUUUGGACAAUGGGCGCAAGCCUGAUCCAGCCAUGCCGCGUGAGUGAAGAAGGCCUUCGGGUUGUAAAGCUCUUUCGGCCGGGAAGAAAUCGUGGUCUCUAACAUAGGCCAUGGAUGACGGUACCGGACUAAGAAGCACCGGCUAACUACGUGCCAGCAGCCGCGGUAAUACGUAGGGUGCGAGCGUUAAUCGGAAUUACUGGGCGUAAAGCGUGCGCAGGCGGUUUUGUAAGACAGAUGUGAAAUCCCCGGGCUUAACCUGGGAACUGCGUUUGUGACUGCAAGGCUAGAGUACGGCAGAGGGGGGUGGAAUUCCUGGUGUAGCAGUGAAAUGCGUAGAGAUCAGGAGGAACACCGAUGGCGAAGGCAGCCCCCUGGGCCUGUACUGACGCUCAUGCACGAAAGCGUGGGGAGCAAA
RNAcentral lists this ribosomal RNA (427 nucleotides) under uncultured Rhodocyclaceae bacterium. RNAcentral's name for it is "bacterial SSU rRNA". It matches the Rfam family "Bacterial small subunit ribosomal RNA", at positions 353 to 772 of the family's 1533-position model. Lineage: Bacteria; Pseudomonadati; Pseudomonadota; Betaproteobacteria; Rhodocyclales; Rhodocyclaceae. The record is from RNAcentral.